This 199-nucleotide long non-coding RNA is filed under the name Prunus persica (peach). RNAcentral's name for it is "long non-coding RNA (PPER_LNC004089)". Lineage: Eukaryota; Viridiplantae; Streptophyta; Magnoliopsida; Rosales; Rosaceae. The record is from RNAcentral.
UCAAGUAGAUUUUUAGAGAAGAAAAUAUUAAACCUAUAUAGCUCAUUGGCUGAGACUAUCAUCUUGUGGCUUUUGGCAGUUUCUCAAGAACAAGUAUGCAAGUUUGAAGUCCCACAUAAAGAAAUAAAUACACUAGUAUCCUAAUUCGUCCCACAUAAUUAAGUAUCAUCGAUUAUAAUAGACUAUGUCAAAAUAAAAC